Molecule: unclassified non-coding RNA, 253 nt
Filed under: uncultured Gammaproteobacteria bacterium
Lineage: Bacteria; Pseudomonadati; Pseudomonadota; Gammaproteobacteria
Description: contains 16S-23S intergenic spacer region
Rfam family: Bacterial small subunit ribosomal RNA
Source: RNAcentral
GACGGAGGGCGCAAGCGUUGUUCGGAAUUACUGGGCGUAAAGCGUGCGUAGGUGGAUAGUUAAGUCGGAUGUGAAAGCCCCGGGCCCAACCUGGGAACUGCAUUCGAGACUGGCUAUCUAGAGUAUAGUAGAGGAAGGUGGAAUUCCCGGUGUAGCGGUGGAAUGCGUAGAUAUCGGGAGGAACAUCAGUGGCGAAGGCGACCUUCUGGACUAAUACUGACACUGAGGUACGAAAGCGUGGGGAGCAAACAGG